RNAcentral lists this unclassified non-coding RNA (348 nucleotides) under plant metagenome. Its description in RNAcentral is "partial contains 5.8S ribosomal RNA, internal transcribed spacer 2, and large subunit ribosomal RNA". The stretch from base 1 to 103 matches the Rfam family "5.8S ribosomal RNA", at positions 52 to 154 of the family's 154-position model. The record is from RNAcentral.
AAUGCGCUAAGUAAUGUGCAUUGCAGAAUUCAGUGAAUCAUCGAAUCUUUGAACGCACCUUGCGCUCCUUGGUAUUCCGAGGAGCAUGCCUGUUUGAGUGUCAUGGAAUUCUCAACUCUAUUUGCUUUUGUGAAUAGAGCUUGGAUUUGGAGGUUUAUUGCUGGUACUUGUGAUCGGCUCCUCUUGAAUGCAUUAGCUCGAACCUUUGCGGAUCAGCUAUCGGUGUGAUAAUUGUCUACGCCGUUGCAGUGAAGCAUAUCAAUGGGCUCGGCUUCCAAUCGUCCUUUACUGGACAAUGACUUUGACCUUUGACCUCAAAUCAGGUAGGAUUACCCGCUGAACUUAAGC